Molecule: long non-coding RNA, 743 nt
Filed under: Ananas comosus (pineapple)
Lineage: Eukaryota; Viridiplantae; Streptophyta; Magnoliopsida; Poales; Bromeliaceae
Description: long non-coding RNA (ACOM_LNC017041)
Source: RNAcentral
AAAAGGGGCCUCGGGGCGUGACAGGGGUCUCACAGAUAUAAUCAGGCUAAAACUCUUAAUCCGGCUAUAGCAUUUUAGCGAUGGCUAGGCCCAAAAGGUUAAGAGAGUUAAGUGUGUUAGGGCUGGAGUAGUCCUAAAAUGGGUGACCCUCUAGAAAAUUGGAGCGUCACACAAGUCACUUAAAGCGUACAAACAAAGUGUCCAUGGAUCUCGAUUGUCACUCGACCCAACGAGCCUCUACUUCGACCAUGACUCGGCUCAACCCAACCUCACGCCAUUUUAAAUGUGACUCGACCCAACCUAGCCUCCCACCACAGAGCAAGAUGCUGAUCCAUUUAAUGCAACAAUCCUCCUUCCAGUACCCAUAUAAAUUCACAGCAUGCGGGAAUCGAACCUACGACCUCUUGUUCUAAUAUCACUUGUCGGAUUGUUGAUACUAAUCAUUAAUCCCAAAAGCUCGAGCUUAAUUUUUUGUCAGUGGCUCAUCCAACCGUGAUAAUAUCCCACAUAUAAUAUUUUCUCUACCAAUCAUCUCAUCAUAUCAUUUAUUCUCUAAUAUUAGUUUUAUCCUUUCUCACGCGUAGUACUCACCACCUAUUAUGUAAUAUACCGAAUCUCCGAAUCGUAAUGCUAAUUUUGAUCAAAUUGAUCAAAGUAAGCUAUGAGGGUGAUGAGCGAGGUUUUCGAGUUGCCUUGAAGGCGUUGGGAUGGUUGGAAGUGAGUUUCAGGAGUGUUUGGAUGUU